This is an RNA transcript of Astyanax mexicanus (Mexican tetra), 2798 nucleotides long. RefSeq lists it as uncharacterized. Lineage: Eukaryota; Metazoa; Chordata; Actinopteri; Characiformes; Acestrorhamphidae. The record is from RefSeq and is a predicted model, not a curated record. The transcript has 2 exons.
UACGCUGCUAUUUUUAAGGUUUUCUUCAUGUAGUUCAGUAAUGUGAGGAUCAUCUUUUAAACAGCGUAAAUAUAACAAACAGAUAAAUAACAUCAUGAUCAGCUCAGAGCUUCACUAUCUUUAAUUCAGAGCUCAGUUCAGUGUGUUUAUGGAGUUUUAAACACGGCUCAACCCCCCUCUCACCUGUGUGUGUUUAUGAGACCGGUGCUGGCGCAUGAUAAUGAUGAGUUAGUGUCCGAAUUCACUCCCGUUUUACCACUAAUUAGUGAACUUAUUAGUAUCUCCCUACAUAGCGCAACACUAAUGAGGGAGUAUGGAGCCAUUUCGGUCACAGCCCUUGAAAUGGGACUGCCUAGUCGCACCGCGGUGACGUAAUCAGCCUUCAAAUGAGUCCUUCGAAGGCUGCAGCCCCUGAAUUGAGACACAGCCAGAGUGUCUCUCUCUCUCUCUCUAUCUCUCUGCUGGAGCAGGAACAGGAUGAGCUGAUCUACAGGAGAAAUGAAGACGUUCCAAGUCAUCGCCUGCUCUCAAUGUGACUUUCCUAUUUGGGUGAAGAUCAUCUCCACAAGCAGCUAAUCAAGCUGCUGAAAGAAGAUAUCCAGAAGAAAGACUAUGUCUCACGGAGAAAUUAAUCCAAGUCCAGACAAAGAGAAAACUCACCACUGUUUAGAGUGUGGGAAGAGUUUUACUGAACAGAGUUCUCUCAAAACACACCAGCGUAUUCACACUGGAGAGAAACCCUAUCACUGCUCAGACUGCGGUAGAAGUUUUACUGUACAAAGUUCUCUAAAAACACACCAGCGCAUUCAUACAGGAGAGAAACCGUAUCACUGCUCAGCUUGUGGGAAGAGUUUUACUACCCAGACUUCUCUCAAAACACACCAACGCAUUCACACUGGAGAGAAACCGUAUCACUGCUCAGAGUGUGGGAGAAGUUUUAAUCUUCUGUGCAAUCUAAAACGACAUGAGCACAUUCACACAGGAGAAAAAACAUAUUGCUGUUUAGACUGCGGGAAGAGUUUUAAUCUUCAGAGUAAUCUAAAACGACACCAGCGCAUUCACACAGGAGAGAAACCGUAUCACUGUUCAGACUGUGGUAAGGGUUUUACUACACCGAGUCAUCUCAAACUGCAUCAGCGCAUUCACACAGGGGAGAAACCCUAUCACUGUUCAGAGUGUGAGAAGAAUUUUUCCACACUGAGGGAUCUCAAAGCACACCAGCGCAUUCACACAGGAGAGAAACCGUAUUACUGUUCAGACUGUGGGAGGAGUUUUAGUAUACAGGGUAAUUUCAUGAAGCACCAGCGCAUUCACACUGGAGAGAAACCGUAUUACUGUUCAGACUGUGGAAAAAGUUUUGCUGGACAGAGUAAUUUUAACACACACCAGAUUGUUCACACAGGGGAGAAACUGUAUUACUGCUCAGACUGUGAGAAGAGCUUCAGACAUUACACUACAUUUAAGAAACACAAGUGCUGUAAGAUCAGCCACGACAGUACAAAUUAACACACACUGAAUCACUACAAAUCCCAACCUAACUUCAGAAAUACAAGGAGAUUUGUUAAUGUUGUUAUAAAUUGUCUGAAGCAUAUUAACAAAACAGAAUAAACUAUUGUGGGCUGAACUCCAGGUCCACAAAGGCCCUUAUGUGAAAGAGUCACUUUCAACAAAGUAGAGUGAAGUAAAGUCUAAGGUGGUUUUUAUAUGGUGUUGUGGAUGCUAGCGGUGACCUACUGCUGCAAAAUAAUGUCUGACACAGCUUCAGAAUUUACUAAAACAUCAUUUAAACACAUUUGCUAAAAGUCUUCAGAAGACUAUUUAUUUCAAGACAAGGAUAGUGCUUUUCCACAGGCGUGGAACCGGCACCGCUCUGGUCUGUGAACCAAAUUUUGAACCAUAUGCUGCGUUUCCAUCAAUGUUUGGAACGUUCGUUUGCAGUGGGAACCCAAGAAUACUUGUUCUUCAGUGCGAACCCUGUUGACAUCUCUGGGCUUGUCUGUUUGUUCAGGAGCACCGCCGCUGUGCAGCGCCCUCUGUUGGUGAUGUAUGAUGUGACUUUUUGAUGGUUCCAGUAAAACUGGUGGAAACGUAGACUGAUUCACUCAAAAGAACCACGUUUCUUUUAAGCGCGAAUGGAACUCUUUCAAGAACCAGAGUUCUUUUGAUAGAUUUUGAUACUCUUCUGUCCGAAGGAAAUGACAUUUAUGUGACUGCAAAUGUAACUUAGUGUCGUUUUUUUUCUCAAAGUUAGAGUGGAAAAAAUUAUGGGAAGUUGUCACUUAUUUUGACUUGAACAAUUUUCAAUUUACUGAGUGGUAUAAAGUAGGGUAGGUAUGCUCAUUAGGCCCAGGCAACAUUUAAGCCUUGCAAAUUUGAAUUCAAAUAUCAAAAAAGAGGGUCAUGUCUUGUGUUACUCAUUGUUUUAUCCAAUCCAAUCACUUCUUACUAACAUCUCAGUUUUUGUUGAACACAAAUAGUAUGUCAUUUUUGAGUAAAGCCACCCUAUAUCCAUGCAGCCUGAAGGAAACUUACGUUACAGCCACCUCAAAACUUUGGUGUUUUUGGGAAUAGAUGGGCAGUUGGAAGUCUGAAUAUAUCUUCGUUAGAAUUGUUAUAUUAGCAUCAAUUGAUACAAAUACAUUUUUUGUAAAAAAACAAAUUGUAAAAAAAUGUAAUUCUAUGUUGUCCAUAAUAAUUGUUAAAUACAACGAAGGCCUACUUGGUAAUAUUUGUGGUGAUCCAUGGUUACAAGCAAUAUGUUGUUUUUAAUAAUUAAAAAUAAAAAAUAUACAUUUUUA